RNAcentral lists this ribosomal RNA (2790 nucleotides) under Escherichia coli. RNAcentral describes it as "bacterial LSU rRNA". It matches the Rfam family "Bacterial large subunit ribosomal RNA". The record is from RNAcentral. Lineage: Bacteria; Pseudomonadati; Pseudomonadota; Gammaproteobacteria; Enterobacterales; Enterobacteriaceae.
ACCCAGUGUGUUUCGACACACUAUCAUUAACUGAAUCCAUAGGUUAAUGAGGCGAACCGGGGGAACUGAAACAUCUAAGUACCCCGAGGAAAAGAAAUCAACCGAGAUUCCCCCAGUAGCGGCGAGCGAACGGGGAGCAGCCCAGAGCCUGAAUCAGUGUGUGUGUUAGUGGAAGCGUCUGGAAAGGCGCGCGAUACAGGGUGACAGCCCCGUACACAAAAAUGCACAUGCUGUGAGCUCGAUGAGUAGGGCGGGACACGUGGUAUCCUGUCUGAAUAUGGGGGGACCAUCCUCCAAGGCUAAAUACUCCUGACUGACCGAUAGUGAACCAGUACCGUGAGGGAAAGGCGAAAAGAACCCCGGCGAGGGGAGUGAAAAAGAACCUGAAACCGUGUACGUACAAGCAGUGGGAGCACGCUUAGGCGUGUGACUGCGUACCUUUUGUAUAAUGGGUCAGCGACUUAUAUUCUGUAGCAAGGUUAACCGAAUAGGGGAGCCGAAGGGAAACCGAGUCUUAACUGGGCGUUAAGUUGCAGGGUAUAGACCCGAAACCCGGUGAUCUAGCCAUGGGCAGGUUGAAGGUUGGGUAACACUAACUGGAGGACCGAACCGACUAAUGUUGAAAAAUUAGCGGAUGACUUGUGGCUGGGGGUGAAAGGCCAAUCAAACCGGGAGAUAGCUGGUUCUCCCCGAAAGCUAUUUAGGUAGCGCCUCGUGAAUUCAUCUCCGGGGGUAGAGCACUGUUUCGGCAAGGGGGUCAUCCCGACUUACCAACCCGAUGCAAACUGCGAAUACCGGAGAAUGUUAUCACGGGAGACACACGGCGGGUGCUAACGUCCGUCGUGAAGAGGGAAACAACCCAGACCGCCAGCUAAGGUCCCAAAGUCAUGGUUAAGUGGGAAACGAUGUGGGAAGGCCCAGACAGCCAGGAUGUUGGCUUAGAAGCAGCCAUCAUUUAAAGAAAGCGUAAUAGCUCACUGGUCGAGUCGGCCUGCGCGGAAGAUGUAACGGGGCUAAACCAUGCACCGAAGCUGCGGCAGCGACGCUGAUGCGUUGUUGGGUAGGGGAGCGUUCUGUAAGCCUGCGAAGGUGUGCUGUGAGGCAUGCUGGAGGUAUCAGAAGUGCGAAUGCUGACAUAAGUAACGAUAAAGCGGGUGAAAAGCCCGCUCGCCGGAAGACCAAGGGUUCCUGUCCAACGUUAAUCGGGGCAGGGUGAGUCGACCCCUAAGGCGAGGCCGAAAGGCGUAGUCGAUGGGAAACAGGUUAAUAUUCCUGUACUUGGUGUUACUGCGAAGGGGGGACGGAGAAGGCUAUGUUGGCCGGGCGACGGUUGUCCCGGUUUAAGCGUGUAGGCUGGUUUUCCAGGCAAAUCCGGAAAAUCAAGGCUGAGGCGUGAUGACGAGGCACUACGGUGCUGAAGCAACAAAUGCCCUGCUUCCAGGAAAAGCCUCUAAGCAUCAGGUAACAUCAAAUCGUACCCCAAACCGACACAGGUGGUCAGGUAGAGAAUACCAAGGCGCUUGAGAGAACUCGGGUGAAGGAACUAGGCAAAAUGGUGCCGUAACUUCGGGAGAAGGCACGCUGAUAUGUAGGUGAAGUCCCUCGCGGAUGGAGCUGAAAUCAGUCGAAGAUACCAGCUGGCUGCAACUGUUUAUUAAAAACACAGCACUGUGCAAACACGAAAGUGGACGUAUACGGUGUGACGCCUGCCCGGUGCCGGAAGGUUAAUUGAUGGGGUUAGCGCAAGCGAAGCUCUUGAUCGAAGCCCCGGUAAACGGCGGCCGUAACUAUAACGGUCCUAAGGUAGCGAAAUUCCUUGUCGGGUAAGUUCCGACCUGCACGAAUGGCGUAAUGAUGGCCAGGCUGUCUCCACCCGAGACUCAGUGAAAUUGAACUCGCUGUGAAGAUGCAGUGUACCCGCGGCAAGACGGAAAGACCCCGUGAACCUUUACUAUAGCUUGACACUGAACAUUGAGCCUUGAUGUGUAGGAUAGGUGGGAGGCUUAGAAGUGUGGACGCCAGUCUGCAUGGAGCCGACCUUGAAAUACCACCCUUUAAUGUUUGAUGUUCUAACGUUGACCCGUAAUCCGGGUUGCGGACAGUGUCUGGUGGGUAGUUUGACUGGGGCGGUCUCCUCCUAAAGAGUAACGGAGGAGCACGAAGGUUGGCUAAUCCUGGUCGGACAUCAGGAGGUUAGUGCAAUGGCAUAAGCCAGCUUGACUGCGAGCGUGACGGCGCGAGCAGGUGCGAAAGCAGGUCAUAGUGAUCCGGUGGUUCUGAAUGGAAGGGCCAUCGCUCAACGGAUAAAAGGUACUCCGGGGAUAACAGGCUGAUACCGCCCAAGAGUUCAUAUCGACGGCGGUGUUUGGCACCUCGAUGUCGGCUCAUCACAUCCUGGGGCUGAAGUAGGUCCCAAGGGUAUGGCUGUUCGCCAUUUAAAGUGGUACGCGAGCUGGGUUUAGAACGUCGUGAGACAGUUCGGUCCCUAUCUGCCGUGGGCGCUGGAGAACUGAGGGGGGCUGCUCCUAGUACGAGAGGACCGGAGUGGACGCAUCACUGGUGUUCGGGUUGUCAUGCCAAUGGCACUGCCCGGUAGCUAAAUGCGGAAGAGAUAAGUGCUGAAAGCAUCUAAGCACGAAACUUGCCCCGAGAUGAGUUCUCCCUGACUCCUUGAGAGUCCUGAAGGAACGUUGAAGACGACGACGUUGAUAGGCCGGGUGUGUAAGCGCAGCGAUGCGUUGAGCUAACCGGUACUAAUGAACCGUGAGGCUUAACCUUACAACGCCGAAG